This is a long non-coding RNA of Beta vulgaris subsp. vulgaris (sugar beet), 637 nucleotides long. RefSeq lists it as uncharacterized. NCBI's taxonomy places the organism in Eukaryota, Viridiplantae, Streptophyta, Magnoliopsida, Caryophyllales, Amaranthaceae. The transcript has 2 exons. The record is from RefSeq and is a predicted model, not a curated record.
UCUUGAUGUGUUGAAGUACGAGAAGCAUUCUAUUUUGUUGAAAUGAAAAUCCUGAUUGCAGAGUCUUGAUCUUACUUUCACUUACAAAAUUUGGUAGUCUUAUGCUAAAGAUAUUUUGUUUUCUCAUUGACAGUGUGUAAUUAUGCGAAGGGUAGAGGUUGUAGAUAACAGACAACCAUUGUAUUCUGGCUCAAAAUGCAAGCACUGGCUAUCAGAGAUGUGGGCUUAUAGAUGGCAACCAGCAAAUUGUGAUAUGCCAGACUUUGAAAGAUCUUCAUUUUUGAAAAGUUCAGAAUGAUGAUCAUGAAAACUGGAGGAAUUUGCUUAUUUCGAGUGAAGACCAUAGAGAAUGAUGAUUUUGUUCCUUGAGCUGGUUCGUGAUGGAUGCAUUGGCUAAGGCCAAGAUACUUAUAGAUGCUAUUUAUAAUGAUGGUGGGGGUGGGCUGCAUUUCUAAAGUCCUUGGUGACUCAAAAUAUUUAGUAUUGUUCCAGAUUUUUGUUGUGGAGUUUAAAUUAGUGUACAUGUAAUUAUAUGAGAUUUGUAUUAGAUUUUGUUCUAAGUAUACUAGAAUUUAGUUCUCGAAUUAUUUUUUCACUUGUAUCUACAUUUAUUAUCAAUAAUAAUUGAAUUUAUUAA